This 110-nucleotide non-coding RNA is filed under the name uncultured Succinivibrio sp. RNAcentral describes it as "Ribosomal S15 leader". It matches the Rfam family "Ribosomal S15 leader", at positions 7 to 111 of the family's 117-position model. Rfam says of the family: The E. coli Ribosomal S15 gene 5' UTR can form two alternative structures. One that is a series of three hairpins, The other includes a pseudoknot. The record is from RNAcentral. Lineage: Bacteria; Pseudomonadati; Pseudomonadota; Gammaproteobacteria; Aeromonadales; Succinivibrionaceae.
AACUGAGUUUGUGAUCGGUGUGGAAGCGUUUUUAUUAAUCUCACAAAUGGAGCAUUUAAAUAUGUUAACAGUAGAGCAGAAAGCAAAAAUCGUUGCUGAAUUUGGUCGUA